ACGGGGAGCACCACAACAGGUGGAGCCUGCGGUUUAAUCGGACUCAAACGCCCGGGAAAACUCACCAGAUAAGACAGCUGAAUGAUAGUCGGGCUGAAGACUCUACUUGACUAGCUGAGAGGAGGUGCAUGGCCGUCGUCAGUUCGUACUGUGAAGCAUCCUGUUAAGUCAGGCAACGAGCGAGACCCACGCCAACAGUUGCCAGCUCGUCCUCCGGGAUGGUGGGGACACUGUUGGGACCGCCUCUGCUAAAGAGGAGGAAGGAAUGGGCAACGGUAGGUCAGCAUGCCCCGAAUUAUCUGGGCUACACGCGGGCUACAAUGGGUGGGACAAUGGGUAUCGACACCGAAAGGUGAAGGCAAUCUCCUAAACCCAUCCGUAGUUCGGAUUGUGGGCUGCAACUCGCCCACAUGAAGCUGGAAUCUGUAGUAAUCGUGUCUCAAAAUGGCACGGUGAAUAUGUCCCUGCUCCUU
RNAcentral lists this ribosomal RNA (473 nucleotides) under uncultured Methanomicrobiales archaeon. Its description in RNAcentral is "bacterial SSU rRNA". It matches the Rfam family "Archaeal small subunit ribosomal RNA", at positions 871 to 1337 of the family's 1478-position model. The record is from RNAcentral. Lineage: Archaea; Methanobacteriati; Methanobacteriota; Methanomicrobia; Methanomicrobiales.